AGAGUUUGAUCAUGGCUCAGAGCGAACGUUAGCGGCGGGCCUAACACAUGCAAGUCGAACGAGAAAAUCCCUUCGGGGGUGAGUACAGUGGCGCACGGGUGAGGAACGCGUAGGUAAUCUACCCUCUGGCGGGGGACAACACUCCGAAAGGAAUGCUAAUACCGCGUAAGACCACACUUACUAAGGUGAGAGUGGUUAAAGGUGGCCUCUUCUUGAAAGCUACCACCAGAGGGUGAGCCUGCGUCCCAUCAGCUUGUUGGUAAGGUAAUGGCUUACCAAGGCGAAGACGGGUAGCUGGUCUGAGAGGAUGAUCAGCCACACUGGCACUGGAACACGGGCCAGACUCCUACGGGAGGCAGCAGUGAGGAAUAUUGGGCAAUGGGCGCAAGCCUGACCCAGCCACGCCGCGUGUGUGAUGAAGGCCUUCGGGUCGUAAAGCACUGUGGGGAGAGACGAAAAAUCUCCGUUCGAAUAGGGCGGAGACUUGACGGUACCUCCUUAGCAAGCACCGGCUAACUCUGUGCCAGCAGCUGCGGUAAUACAGAGGGUGCAAACGUUGCUCGGAUUUACUGGGCGUAAAGCGCGUGUAGGCGGACUCGCAAGUCGGUUGUGAAAUCCCUGGGCUCAACCUAGGAACUGCAUCCGAAACUGCUUGUCUUGAGUAAUGGAGAGGGUGGCGGAAUUCCCGGUGUAGAGGUGAAAUUCGUAGAUAUCGGGAGGAACAUCAGUGGCGAAGGCGGCCACCUGGACAUUUACUGACGCUGAGACGCGAAAGCGUGGGGGAGCAAACAGGAUUAGAUACCCUGGUAGUCCACGCCGUAAACGAUGAGAACUAGGUGCAGCGGAUAUUGACCUCUGCUGUGCCGUAGCUAACGCGUUAAGUUCUCCGCCUGGGGAGUACGGCCGCAGGGCUAAAACUCAAAGGAAUUGACGGGGGCCCGCACAAGCAGUGGAGCAUGGUGGUUUAAAUCGAAGCAACGCGCAGAACCCUUA
This 993-nucleotide ribosomal RNA is filed under the name uncultured Myxococcales bacterium. RNAcentral describes it as "bacterial SSU rRNA". It matches the Rfam family "Bacterial small subunit ribosomal RNA", at positions 8 to 973 of the family's 1533-position model. The record is from RNAcentral. Lineage: Bacteria; Pseudomonadati; Myxococcota; Myxococcia; Myxococcales.